GGACGAACGCUGGCGGCGUGCCUAAUACAUGCAAGUAGAACGCUGAAGAGAGGAGCUUGCUCUUCUUGGAUGAGUUGCGAACGGGUGAGUAACGCGUAGGUAACCUGCCUUGUAGCGGGGGAUAACUAUUGGAAACGAUAGCUAAUACCGCAUAACAAUGGAUGACACAUGUCAUUUAUUUGAAAGGGGCAAUUGCUCCACUACAAGAUGGACCUGCGUUGUAUUAGCUAGUAGGUGAGGUAAUGGCUCACCUAGGCGACGAUACAUAGCCGACCUGAGAGGGUGAUCGGCCACACUGGGACUGAGACACGGCCCAGACUCCUACGGGAGGCAGCAGUAGGGAAUCUUCGGCAAUGGAGGCAACCCUGACCGAGCAACGCCGCGUGAGUGAAGAAGGUUUUCGGAUCGUAAAGCUCUGUUGUAAGUCAAGAACGGGUGUGAGAGUGGAAAGUUCACACUGUGACGGUAGCUUACCAGAAAGGGACGGCUAACUACGUG
RNAcentral lists this ribosomal RNA (498 nucleotides) under uncultured Streptococcus sp. RNAcentral's name for it is "bacterial SSU rRNA". It matches the Rfam family "Bacterial small subunit ribosomal RNA", at positions 27 to 507 of the family's 1533-position model. Lineage: Bacteria; Bacillati; Bacillota; Bacilli; Lactobacillales; Streptococcaceae. The record is from RNAcentral.